CCGUAACUAUAACGGUCCUAAGGUAGCGAAAUUCCUUGUCGGGUAAGUUCCGACCCGCACGAAAGGCGCAACGAUCUGGGCACUGUCUCAACGAGAGACUCGGUGAAAUUAUAGUACCUGUGAAGAUGCAGGUUACCCGCGACAGGACGGAAAGACCCCGUGGAGCUUUACUGCAACCUGAUAUGGAAUGUUUGUACCGCUUGUACAGGAUAGGUAGGAGCCGAAGAGACGUGUGCGCUAGCAUACGAGGAGGCAAUGGUGGGAUACUACCCUGGCUGUAUGACCAUUCUAACCCGCCACGCUUAGCGCGUGGGGAGACAGUGUCAGGUGGGCAGUUUGACUGGGGCGGUCGCCUCCUAAAGAGUAACGGAGGCGCCCAAAGGUUCCCUCAGAAUGGAUGGAAAUCAUUCGCAGAGUGUAAAGGCACAAGGGAGCUUGACUGCGAGACUGACAAGUCGAGCAGGGACGAAAGUCGGGCUUAGUGAUCCGGUGGUUCCGCAUGGAAGGGCCAUCGCUCAACGGAUAAAAGCUACCCCGGGGAUAACAGGCUUAUCUCCCCCAAGAGUCCACAUCGACGGGGAGGUUUGGCACCUCGAUGUCGGCUCGUCGCAUCCUGGGGCUGUAGUCGGUCCCAAGGGUUGGGCUGUUCGCCCAUUAAAGCGGCACGCGAGCUGGGUUCAGAACGUCGUGAGACAGUUCGGUCCCUAUCCGUCGCGGGCGCAGGAAAUUUGAGAGGAGCUGUCCUUAGUACGAGAGGACCGGGAUGGACACACCGCUGGUGUACCAGUUGUUCCGCCAGGAGCAUCGCUGGGUAGCUAUGUGUGGCAGGGAUAAACGCUGAAAGCAUCUAAGCGUGAAGCCCCCCUCAAGAUGAGAUUUCCCAUUUCUUCGGAAAGUAAGAUCCCUGAAAGAUGAUCAGGUAGAUAGGUUUGGAGUGGAAGUGUAGCGAUACAUGGAGCGGACAAAUACUAAUCGAUCGAGGACUUAACCAA
This 992-nucleotide ribosomal RNA is filed under the name Listeria monocytogenes. Its description in RNAcentral is "partial 23S ribosomal RNA". It matches the Rfam family "Bacterial large subunit ribosomal RNA", at positions 1934 to 2925 of the family's 2925-position model. Lineage: Bacteria; Bacillati; Bacillota; Bacilli; Caryophanales; Listeriaceae. The record is from RNAcentral.